UAGAAUGAUGAAGACCUAUAGGAUACAGCCUCCUACAGGAAGGUAAAUGGUGGUUUCUUCUGUCUUCUCUCUGUUGGUGGAUAGAAUGAUGAAGACCUAUAGGAUACAGCCUCCUACAGGAAGGUAAAUGGUGGUUUCUUCUGUCUUCUCUCUGUUGGUGGAUAGAAUGAUGAAGACCUAUAGGAUACAGCCUCCUACAGGAAGGUAAAUGGUGGUUUCUUCUGUCUUCUCUCUGUUAGUGGAUAGAAUGAUGAAGACCUAUAGGAUACAGCCUCCUACAGGAAGGUAAAUGGUGGUUUCUUCUGUCUUCUCUCUGUUAGUGGAUAGAAUGAUGAAGACCUAUAGGAUACAGCCUCCUACAGGAAGGUAAAUGGUGGUUUCUUCUGUCUUCUCUCUGUUAGUGGAUAGAAUGAUGAAGACCUAUAGGAUACAGCCUCCUACAGGAAGGUAAAUGGUGGUUUCUUCUGUCUUCUCUCUGUUAGUGGAUAGAAUGAUGAAGACCUAUAGGAUACAGCCUCCUACAGGAAGGUAAAUGGUGGUUUCUUCUGUCUUCUCUCUGUUGGUGGAUAGAAUGAUGAAGACCUAUAGGAUACAGCCUCCUACAGGAAGGUAAAUGGUGGUUUCUACCCUCUUCUCUCUGUUAGUGGAUAGAAUGAUGAAGACCUAUAGGAUACAGCCUCCUACAGGAAGGUAAAUGGUGGUUUCUUCUGUCUUCUCUCUGUUGGUGGAUAGAAUGAUGAAGACCUAUAGGAUACAGCCUCCUACAGGAAGGUAAAUGGUGGUUUCUACCCUCUUCUCUCUGUUAGUGGAUAGAAUGAUGAAGACCUAUAGGAUACAGCCUCCUACAGGAAGGUAAAUGGUGGUUUCUACCCUCUUCUCUCUGGUAGUGGAUAGAAUGAUGUAGGUCAAGGGACUGCCUCUGAUCUGGUGGACUCUCUAAACAGAGAACAUCCCUGGUCAUCCCUACUGCCUCUGAUCUGGUGGACUCACUAAACAGAGAACAUCCCUGGUCAUCCCUACUGCCUCUGAUCUGGCGGACUCUCUAAACAGAGAACAUCCCUGGUCAUCCCUACUGCCUCUG
Oncorhynchus keta (chum salmon) is the source of this 1081-nucleotide long non-coding RNA. RefSeq lists it as uncharacterized. The record is from RefSeq and is a predicted model, not a curated record. The transcript has 3 exons. Lineage: Eukaryota; Metazoa; Chordata; Actinopteri; Salmoniformes; Salmonidae.